This 381-nucleotide ribosomal RNA is filed under the name uncultured marine Chaetocerotaceae. Its description in RNAcentral is "SSU rRNA". It matches the Rfam family "Eukaryotic small subunit ribosomal RNA", at positions 587 to 972 of the family's 1831-position model. The record is from RNAcentral. Lineage: Eukaryota; Bacillariophyta; Thalassiosirophyceae; Chaetocerotales; Chaetocerotaceae.
AGCUCCAAUAGCGUAUAUUAAAGUUGCUGCAGUUAAAAAGCUCGUAGUUGCAUUUCCGAGGCAAGGGAUUAGUCCGACCUUUGGUGGGUAUUUAAUCCUCUUGCCUCGUCCUUGAGUGGUGCUUCUUGGUAUUAAGUUAUCGAGGAGAUAGCCGCUCAUCGUUUACUGUGAGAAAAUUAGAGUGUUCAAAGCAGGCUUAUGCCGUUGAAUAUAUUAGCAUGGAAUAAUAAGAGAGGACCUCGGUACUAUUUGGUUGGUUUGAGAACCAAGGUAAUGAUGAAUAGGGACAGUUGGGGGUAUUCGUAUUCAGUUGUCAGAGGUGAAAUUCUUAGAUUUACGGAAGACGAACUACUGCGAAAGCAUUUACCAAGGAUGUUUUCA